GACAUCCAGAGAAGUUUAGCAGAGAUGCUUUAGUGCCUUCGGGAACUCUGAGACAGGUGCUGCAUGGCUGUCGUCAGCUCGUGUUGUGAAAUGUUGGGUUAAGUCCGCAACGAGCGCAACCCUUAUCCUUUGUUGCCAGCACGUAAUGGUGGGAACUCAAAGGAGACUGCCGGUGAUAAACCGGAGGAAGGUGGGGAUGACGUCAAGUCAUCAUGGCCCUUACGAGUAGGGCUACACACGUGCUACAAUGGCGUAUACAAAGAGAAGCGACCUCGCGAGAGCAAGCGGACCUCAUAAAGUGCGUCGUAGUCCGGAUUGGAGUCUGCAACUCGACUCCAUGAAGUCGGAAUCGCUAGUAAUCGUAAAUCAGAAUGUUACGGUGAAUACGUUCCCGGGCCUUGUACACACCGCCCGUCACACCAUGGGAGUGGGUUGCAAAAGAAGUAGAUAGCUUAACCUUCGGGAGGGCGUUUACCACUUUGUGAUUCAUGACUGGGGUGAAGUCGUAACAAGGUAGGCGUAGUGCU
Molecule: ribosomal RNA, 527 nt
Filed under: uncultured bacterium
Lineage: Bacteria
Description: bacterial SSU rRNA
Rfam family: Bacterial small subunit ribosomal RNA
Source: RNAcentral